GUAAGGUAAGGGAGGCCCAACAGAAAAAAGACCUUGAAUUAGCUGAGAAUAUCAAGCUUGCUGACGAGAAGUUAGCUUCAGUCACCAAGCUUAAACAAGACAAUACCAAUCUGAAAGCUGCUCUUGGGAUCGCCAACAAGGAAGUCAGUCGACUGAAAAUUGAUAAAGCUGCCCUGACCGACCAAGUCAGUAAGUUGACUGGGAAGAAAAAUGAUCUGGAGCCCUUCCUGAGUGGUCUUGCCAAGAAGCUGUUCCUUAUGCUUGAAGAAUUUUGUCAAAACUUUGAAGAAGAAACUAGCCGGCUGGAACCAAACCUCGACCCCGUCAAUUCUCCGGUGAACGACGAAGUUGCCAUGAAUGUUUUCUGACUGGAGUCCCGUGUUGCAGCUGUCGUGGACUAUCUUGCAAGGCUGAAGGUCGCCACAUCUCGCAUCGACUCGACGCUCUGGCCCGGGGAGACACUUCAGAAUGACCUCGAGUCGCUGAUGGCUCGCUUGAACACGAUCCCUGGUCGAGUGCAGGAGUGGAAAAAGUCCUCGGCUCGGUGCGGUGCAGAUGUUGCUCUGUGUCUGGCCCGAGUUCACUGCAAAGAUGCGCGAGAAGAAAAGCUGGCGGCCCUCCGGGUGGCCAACACCAAGAAACACGACUUCAGGUCCUUUAUGGAAACUUUCCUUGCAGCUGCCACUCGGAUCGCGGAUGGAAUUGAUCUUGAUGAGUUUGUUGCACCUUCCAGCCCUCCACAGGAGGGGUAAAAAACUUCUUCUAAGCUCGACGCUUUAAAUUUGCCUCGGUAUGCCGAGUGGAGGUGUAACCGAUAAACUUUAACAGGUCUAGUGCCUGAGCACUUUCGGUUCCUUUUGGUAUCGAUCCCAAC
This 874-nucleotide ribosomal RNA is filed under the name Triticum aestivum (bread wheat). RNAcentral's name for it is "partial small subunit ribosomal RNA". Lineage: Eukaryota; Viridiplantae; Streptophyta; Magnoliopsida; Poales; Poaceae. The record is from RNAcentral.